RNAcentral lists this ribosomal RNA (806 nucleotides) under Cryobacterium sp. RODSPM27. Its description in RNAcentral is "bacterial SSU rRNA". It matches the Rfam family "Bacterial small subunit ribosomal RNA", at positions 54 to 860 of the family's 1533-position model. Lineage: Bacteria; Bacillati; Actinomycetota; Actinomycetes; Micrococcales; Microbacteriaceae. The record is from RNAcentral.
CCUGCAGUCGACGGUGAUGAGGAGCUUGCUUCUCUGAUCAGUGGCGAACGGGUGAGUAACACGUGAGCAAUCUGCCCUUGACUCUGGGAUAACUGCGGGAAACUGUAGCUAAUACCGGAUACGACCUUUGGAGGCAUCUCUGGGGGUGGAAAGAAUUUUGGUCAAGGAUGAGCUCGCGGCCUAUCAGCUAGUUGGUGAGGUAAUGGCUCACCAAGGCGACGACGGGUAGCCGGCCUGAGAGGGUGACCGGCCACACUGGGACUGAGACACGGCCCAGACUCCUACGGGAGGCAGCAGUGGGGAAUAUUGCACAAUGGGCGCAAGCCUGAUGCAGCAACGCCGCGUGAGGGACGAAGGCCUUCGGGUUGUAAACCUCUUUUAGUAGGGAAGAAGCGACUGGGUUUUCCUGGAAGUGACGGUACCUGCAGAAAAAGCACCGGCUAACUACGUGCCAGCAGCCGCGGUAAUACGUAGGGUGCAAGCGUUGUCCGGAAUUAUUGGGCGUAAAGAGCUCGUAGGCGGUUUGUCGCGUCUGCUGUGAAAACCCGAGGCUCAACCUCGGGCCUGCAGUGGGUACGGGCAGACUAGAGUGCGGUAGGGGAGAUUGGAAUUCCUGGUGUAGCGGUGGAAUGCGCAGAUAUCAGGAGGAACACCAAUGGCGAAGGCAGAUCUCUGGGCCGUAACUGACGCUGAGGAGCGAAAGCAUGGGGAGCGAACAGGAUUAGAUACCCUGGUAGUCCAUGCCGUAAACGUUGGGAACUAGAUGUGGGGACCAUUCCACGGUCUCCGUGUCGCAGCUAACGCAU